This 72-nucleotide transfer RNA is filed under the name bacterium. Its description in RNAcentral is "tRNA-Met". It matches the Rfam family "tRNA". From Rfam's summary of the family: Transfer RNA (tRNA) molecules are approximately 80 nucleotides in length. Their secondary structure includes four short double-helical elements and three loops (D, anti-codon, and T loops). Further hydrogen bonds mediate the characteristic L-shaped molecular structure. tRNAs have two regions of fundamental functional importance: the anti-codon, which is responsible for specific mRNA codon recognition, and the 3' end, to which the tRNAs corresponding amino acid is attached (by aminoacyl-tRNA synthetases). tRNAs cope with the degeneracy of the genetic code in two manners: having more than one tRNA (with a specific anti-codon) for a particular amino acid; and 'wobble' base-pairing, i.e. permitting non-standard base-pairing at the 3rd anti-codon position. RNAcentral also lists the same sequence under 2 other names. The record is from RNAcentral.
CGCGGGGUGGAGCAGUGGUAGCUCGUUGGGCUCAUAACCCAAAGGUCGUGGGUUCAAAUCCCACCCCCGCCA